GACGUAGGGCGCGAGCGUUGUCCGGAUUUAUUGGGCGUAAAGAGCUCGUAGGCGGUGUGUCGCGUCGGCCGUGAAAACCUGCAGCUUAACUGUGGGCUUGCGGUCGAUACGGGCAUCACUGGAGUUCGGCAGGGGAGACUGGAAUUCCUGGUGUAGCGGUGAAAUGCGCAGAUAUCAGGAGGAACAUCAGUGGCGAAGGCGGCCUUCUGGUCCAGUACUGACACUCAAGUGCGAAAGCGUGGGGAGCAAACAGG
RNAcentral lists this ribosomal RNA (254 nucleotides) under uncultured bacterium. Its description in RNAcentral is "partial 16S ribosomal RNA". It matches the Rfam family "Bacterial small subunit ribosomal RNA", at positions 524 to 776 of the family's 1533-position model. The record is from RNAcentral.